This 253-nucleotide ribosomal RNA is filed under the name uncultured bacterium. RNAcentral's name for it is "partial 16S ribosomal RNA". It matches the Rfam family "Bacterial small subunit ribosomal RNA", at positions 524 to 776 of the family's 1533-position model. The record is from RNAcentral.
UACGAAGGGUGCAAGCGUUACUCGGAAUUACUGGGCGUAAAGCGUGCGUAGGUGGUGAGUUAAGUCUGUCGUGAAAGCCCCGGGCUCAACCUGGGAAUGGCGAUGGAUACUGGCUCGCUAGAGUGCGGUAGAGGAGAGUGGAAUUCCCGGUGUAGCAGUGAAAUGCGUAGAGAUCGGGAGGAACAUCAGUUGCGAAGGCGGCUACCUGGCCCAAUACUGACACUCAGGUGCGACAGCGUGGGGAGCAAACAGG